GUGAGGAAUAUUGCGCAAUGGGCGAAAGCCUGACGCAGCCACGCCGCGUGGAGGAAGACACCCCUAUGGGGCGUAAACUCCUUUUAUGCGAGAAGAAAUCCCCGACAGGUCGGGGCCUGACGGUAUCGCAUGAAUAAGCACCGGCUAACUCCGUGCCAGCAGCCGCGGUAAUACGGAGGGUGCAAGCGUUGUCCGGAAUCACUGGGUGUAAAGGGUGCGUAGGCGGACGUGCAAGUUAAGGGUGAAAUCCCGGGGCUCAACCUCGGAACAGCUUUUAAAACUGCAUGACUAGAGUAAGAUAGAGGCAGAUGGAAUUCCUGGAGUAGCGGUGGAAUGCGUAGAUAUCAGGAGGAACACCAGAGGCGAAGGCGAUCUGCUGGGUCUUAACUGACGCUAAGGCACGAAAGCGUGGGGAGCAAACGGGAUUAGAAACCCUAGUAGUCC
This 444-nucleotide ribosomal RNA is filed under the name uncultured bacterium. RNAcentral's name for it is "bacterial SSU rRNA". It matches the Rfam family "Bacterial small subunit ribosomal RNA", at positions 354 to 796 of the family's 1533-position model. The record is from RNAcentral.